GGAAUCUCUGUGUUUAACAGGCUCCACAGGGGAUUUUGUUGAGGGUAUAGGGAGAAAUCUGCUGCAUUUCUAAAGUUCUCUGAAAACAAGUCGCAUUUCAGAACCAAAAUCAGCAUUUGAUUUUCUUCACUUUGGGGGUGUAUUCAGGAGGCCAUUGGAUACAACAAGGAAUGCUUAAGGAUAGAAAGUAACAGAGCCAGGAGAAACUUCCUGGAUUCUCAGGAUGUCCUGGGAUUUUCUGUACAUUCUGGCCUACAAGACAUCUGUGAACUGGAGAGCCCUCAUAUCAUCUCAUAGCUUCAAAACAGAGGAGGAACAGUGAAUGGCUUCCUACUCCCUGAAGGCAGGCAGGGGUUGUGUCUCUCCUGUGUGACUUCCUUUAUCCAAAUAGCCCAAAUCCCAAAAUAGAGGUAUAAUAGGGGCUCAGCAGGAUGACAUCCAUAAUUCAAGGCCUGACUAUUGCUGACUGCACAGAAAGUUAGAAGGAAACUGGCCUCUUGCUGGACCUUACUCAGUCCUGAAGCCUGUGGGAGUAAGGAGUAAGGAGUAAGAGUGCUUGUGAUAUCAGGGGAAGAGAUGUAAUUCCCAAACCUACCUGGUAUCUGAAACACGAGUUCGUGUUCUCUAAAAUCGAAGAAUGAAUUCUAGGAACAAUGGGGGUUAAGAGUAGGAAAAAUUUAUUGGGAGAAAGAAAGCUUCUGCCUAAGAGAGACAGAAGAGGGACCAGAAAGUGAGUUGCCUGCCCACCCCACUUUUCAAAGAUGUUUUAUACAGCAAAGCCAUGUGGACAGGCGGGUACAAAGUGGCACAAAACUAUAAGACCCAAUGGAAAUUUACAAGGUGGGCAUGAGGUGGGACAAACCCAUGACCAACCAAUAAGAUUACAAGUACAGUCACCCAGGUAAUAUUGAAUAAAUGGGGAUCAAAUGAAAAGACAAGUCACAUGCAAGGAAUUUCCCAUUUAGAAUAUCAAUCACUGCUUUCUAUCUCUAGGGGAAGUAGUGCUUCUUUUCCUUUUUAUAAUGCUAACCAGUGAAUGUGGCUCAAUUGUUCUCCAUGUUGGUUCCUUGCUAUAUUGUCUCCUGGAGGGCUGGUGCCUUAAGGGAGGCCUUGUCUACCUGCCAAGGAGAUAUCUAAUUAACUUACCUAUCUGCAAUACUUAAGAGCCUCAGCUGCAGAGCAGGUGUCACAAUCCUCCCUUCAUUGGGAAUCCAGAGGUGUCUGGCAAGUCUCUUGGCCACAGGCCUCCCUGGAGCCCAGAGCUCUUUGAAGAAAAGAUUCUGGGAACAAGUGUAAGACCCAGGUGAGACUUAGCACAAGUAACACCAUCUUGUUACAGGCCCUCCAUCUUGUCCCUGUGGGUUUCGGGUUCACUAAAGGACACAGAGUUCCUGGAAUGUACUUGUUUAUCUGUUAAGACACCCUGGAAUGUACCAUUGUUUCUGUGUAAAGAACAUCCUGUUAGAUAAGUAAAGAACAUCUACAAACUCCCCUAACCGUCCCCUAACUGCAAAAAUUCCGCUUCUGUAGUUCUGCUUGCUAAGCACCCCUGCAGCCCCUAUAAAACCUUCCAACCUCCUGAG
Molecule: long non-coding RNA, 1583 nt
Organism: Heterocephalus glaber (naked mole-rat)
Lineage: Eukaryota; Metazoa; Chordata; Mammalia; Rodentia; Bathyergidae
Source: Ensembl